AAUGAUAUGACGUACUUGUACUGAUGAGAUUUAACACGAAGUGAGUGGCGAACGGGUGAGUAACACGUGGGUAACCUGCCCAGAAGUAGGGGAUAACACCUGGAAACAGAUGCUAAUACCGUAUAACAGAGAAAACCGCAUGGUUUUCUUUUAAAAGAUGGCUCUGCUAUCACUUCUGGAUGGACCCGCGGCGUAUUAGCUAGUUGGUGAGGUAAAGGCUCACCAAGGCAGUGAUACGUAGCCGACCUGAGAGGGUAAUCGGCCACAUUGGGACUGAGACACGGCCCAGACUCCUACGGGAGGCAGCAGUAGGGAAUCUUCCACAAUGGACGCAAGUCUGAUGGAGCAACGCCGCGUGAGUGAAGAAGGGUUUCGGCUCGUAAAGCUCUGUUGUUAAAGAAGAAUGUGGGUAAGAGUAACUGUUUACCCAGUGACGGUAUUUAACCAGAAAGCCACGGCUAACUACGUGCCAGCAGCCGCGGUAAUACGUAGGUGGCAAGCGUUAUCCGGAUUUAUUGGGCGUAAAGCGAGCGCAGGCGGUCUUUUAAGUCUAAUGUGAAAGCCUUCGGCUCAACCGAAGAAGUGCAUUGGAAACUGGGAGACUUGAGUGCAGAAGAGGACAGUGGAACUCCAUGUGUAGCGGUGAAAUGCGUAGAUAUAUGGAAGAACACCAGUGGCGAAGGCGGCUGUCUGGUCUGCAACUGACGCUGAGGCUCGAAAGCAUGGGUAGCGAACAGGAUUAGAUACCCUGGUAGUCCAUGCCGUAAACGAUGAUUACUAAGUGUUGGAGGGUUUCCGCCCUUCAGUGCUGCAGCUAACGCAUUAAGUAAUCCGCCUGGGGAGUACGACCGCAAGGUUGAAACUCAAAAGAAUUGACGGGGGCCCGCACAAGCGGUGGAGCAUGUGGUUUAAUUCGAAGCUACGCGAAGAACCUUACCAGGUCUUGACAUCUUCUGACAGUCUAAGAGAUUAGAGGUUCCCUUCGGGGACAGAAUGACAGGUGGUGCAUGGUGUCGUCAGCUCG
Molecule: ribosomal RNA, 1024 nt
Filed under: Pediococcus pentosaceus
Lineage: Bacteria; Bacillati; Bacillota; Bacilli; Lactobacillales; Lactobacillaceae
Description: bacterial SSU rRNA
Rfam family: Bacterial small subunit ribosomal RNA
Source: RNAcentral